Molecule: ribosomal RNA, 475 nt
Filed under: uncultured bacterium
Lineage: Bacteria
Description: partial 16S ribosomal RNA
Rfam family: Bacterial small subunit ribosomal RNA
Source: RNAcentral
GAUGAACGCUAGCGGCAGGCCUAACACAUGCAAGUCGAGGGAUAAGCCUUCUUGCUUAGACCGGCUCACGGUUGCGUAACUCGUAUACAAUCUGCCUUUUAUCCGGUUGUUAUCCCGUAGAUCUUUGGAUUAAUACCCUAUGGUAUAAGAGCACGGCAUCGUUCACUUAUUAAAUCUACGGCGUUACAAGAUGAGUAUGCGUUCUAUUAGCUAGUUGGUUAGGUAACGGCUCCCCAAGGCGACGAUAGAUAGGGGUUCUGAGAGGGAUGUCCCCCACACUGGUACUGAGAUACGGACCAGACUCCUACGGGAGGCAGCAGUGAGGAAUAGUGGACAAUGGUCGGAAGACUGAUCCAGCCAUGCCGCGUGCAGGAUGACGGCCUUAUGGGUUGUAAACUGCUUUUGUAAGGGAAGAAUAAGGAGUACGUGUACUUUGAUGACGGUACCUGACGAAUAAGCAUCGGCUAACUCCGUG